RNAcentral lists this ribosomal RNA (492 nucleotides) under uncultured bacterium. RNAcentral's name for it is "partial 16S ribosomal RNA". It matches the Rfam family "Bacterial small subunit ribosomal RNA", at positions 29 to 507 of the family's 1533-position model. The record is from RNAcentral.
AGUGAACGCUGGCGGUAGGCCUAAUACAUGCAAGUCGAACGGAAGCACAGUAAGAGCUUGCUCUUAAGGGUGGCGAGUGGCGGACGGGUGAGGAAUACAUAGGAAUCUACUUUUACGUGGGGGAUAUCGUAGGGAAACUUACGCUAAUACCGCAUACGACCUACGGGAGAAAGCAGGGGAUCUUCGGACCUUGCGCGAUUGAAUGAGCCGAUGUCGGAUUAGCUAGUUGGCGGGGUAAAGGCCCACCAAGGCGACGAUCCGUAGCUGGUCUGAGAGGAUGAUCAGCCACACUGGAACUGGGACACGGUCCAGACUCCUACGGGAGGCAGCAGUGGGGAAUAUUGGACAAUUGGCGCAAGCCUGAUCCAGCCAUACCGCGUGGGUGAAGAAGGCCUUCGGGUUGGAAAACCCUUUUGAUGGGAAAGAAAAACAGCAGGUUAAUACCCCGCUGUUCUGACGGUACCCAAAGAAUAAGCACCGGCUAACUUCGUG